This 29-nucleotide ribosomal RNA is filed under the name uncultured fungus. Its description in RNAcentral is "partial 18S ribosomal RNA". Lineage: Eukaryota; Fungi. The record is from RNAcentral.
UCCGUAGGUGACCUGCGGAGGGAUCAUUA